CUGGUUCUACUGGUUCUCCUUUUCUGCCUCCAUCUCAGGUGAAGUUCUGACUGCAGGUAAACUGGUUCUACUGGUUCUCCUUUUCUGCCUCCAUCUCAGUCUGUUUUCUCCAGACCUUCGUCUGUUCUCUGCUUUGCCUAAAGACACCCUGCAGGUGUGUGAGCUAAUGUGAAGUGAGCAGCAUGGAUCAGUGUGAGGACAGAGAGGACAGAGUCCCUCCCUCUAAAACCACUCUGUGUGGAGAACAUGAGGACCAGAGCAAAGCUCAGAGGAAACUAACAGAACCAGAACCUGGACCAGAACCAGAACCUGGACCAGAAC
Molecule: long non-coding RNA, 321 nt
Organism: Cyprinodon variegatus (sheepshead minnow)
Lineage: Eukaryota; Metazoa; Chordata; Actinopteri; Cyprinodontiformes; Cyprinodontidae
Exons: 3
Source: RefSeq, a predicted model, not a curated record